UGGGAAGAGGCCGGGCGGCCGAAAAACAAAGAGAUCAGCAAUCAGAAAUAGAUCGCGGUGAGCGGCGAAAAGCGCCGUUUUUUGGAGUUACAAAACGUCGUGUAACUCAAAAACUAGGAGGGCUAGCAGCCUAAUUCUUGUACUGGGUGAAUCAGCGGACUUUGGUGUAUUUUGACGGCGAUUUUCAUAGCUCUUUGUACCUCCGUCGCGGAGAUAUGACGAGAGAAGAAACGGCUUCAUUUUCAGAGUGUGAGAACUGAGAGGAGGACAGAUUUCCACCCCUCAAACAAACGUAAUUCAUUGCUCAACGGGUUCGUGGCAACCACGGAUGGGAAAAUGUGGAGGUUGCACGGCUGAUGUUUACUGUUCGUGGCACAGGAAGAGGCAGUUUCAUUUCAGGAAUGAGUGUGCACAAUCAAAGAGCGACUGUGGAGAGACCUCUGGGUGGCCGUUACAUGCAUUUACUACGAUGUUCUUCACAACACUGAGGAAGAAGGCCUUCUUGAUAUUUCAAAUGCUGCACACCUCUUUUGCUGCCAUUACAGCUUUCUUCCUCGACUAGAGGAUAAUUUUAAUACAUUUUGCAGUGGAUGGGACAACCAUCCACUGCGCGAAGAAACAACAUGAGUCCCCAACCAGCUGUGGGAGUUGGGUCACAGAUAUCACCCUGUUCCUGUUCCAGAAAACACACAGCUUAUCGCACAUUUGAUUUCCAUGUGUGACAACUGCAAGUGUCCAGAGUGAGGACAGACUGAGGGACCCACUGCUGCACAUCAUCUGUGAGGCUUUGCACCCCUGAUGAUCCACCAGGACAAACUCAGCAGUGUGUGAGGAAGAGGAGGAGGAAGAGCCAGCAGCAGCUGACAGAUGGAGAGAAUAGACAGACUGUUCCCUGUUUGUGAAGGACUGCUAGGAAAGUUUAACAUAACUAAUUGUCUGUCCUGAAUCAGUCUUAUUAGGUAAUGUUCAAAUAAUGUUAUCAUUCCAGUGUUUCCAGUGUGGGAGAAAGUACUCAGGGCCUUCAAGUUACACACUAUGAAAGGCAGCAACAAGUUUAAUAUUCAGAAACCUAAAGUAUGUAUCAGCAGCAGAAUGGAGAUAAAAAUAAAUGUUUGUUUCAGUUCUAUGAAGCUUUGAGUAUUUUGCAUUAGUAGUACUGCUGUGUUUGUUGCAUCAUAUUGCUGUAACUGUUUAUAUGCUUUAUAUAUUCUGAGGUAAGUUGAUCUAUAGUGUUACAUCAUAUUCUAUAAGGAUGUUAUGUGUUUGUAUACUUUCUGCCCAGUUUGACCCAUUUAGCAGACGUCAGUCUGUUUAAGGCUCUGAUAUCUAUUCUGUAUGACUUAAAGCAGUUAUGACAUGGUAUGAUUUUCUCACCCAAUAAAG
This is a long non-coding RNA of Oreochromis aureus, 1383 nucleotides long. Lineage: Eukaryota; Metazoa; Chordata; Actinopteri; Cichliformes; Cichlidae. The record is from Ensembl.